This 848-nucleotide ribosomal RNA is filed under the name uncultured bacterium. Its description in RNAcentral is "bacterial SSU rRNA". It matches the Rfam family "Bacterial small subunit ribosomal RNA", at positions 11 to 853 of the family's 1533-position model. The record is from RNAcentral.
GUUUGAUCAUUGGCUCAGAUUGAACGCUGGCGGCAGGCUAACACAUGCAAGUCGAGCGGCGAGAAAGUAGCUUGCUAUUUGCCGGCGAGCGCGGGACGGGUGAGUAAUGUCUGGGAAACUGCCUGAUGGAGGGGGAUAACUACUGGAAACGGUAGCUAAUACCGCAUGACCUCGAAAGAGCAAAGUGGGGGAUCUUCGGACCUCACGCCAUCGGAUGUGCCCAGAUGGGAUUAGCUAGUAGGUGAGGUAAUGGCUCACCUAGGCGACGAUCCCUAGCUGGUCUGAGAGGAUGACCAGCCACACUGGAACUGAGACACGGUCCAGACUCCUACGGGAGGCAGCAGUGGGGAAUAUUGCACAAUGGGCGCAACGUAAUGCAGCCAUGCCGCGUGUGUGAAGAAGGCCUUAGGGUUGUAAAGCACUUUCAGCGAGGAGGAAGGCAUCACACUUAAUACGUGUGGUGAUUGACGUUACUCGCAGAAGAAGCACCGGCUAACUCCGUGCCAGCAGCCGCGUAAUACGGAGGGUGCAAGCGUUAAUCGGAAUUACUGGGCGUAAAGCGCACGCAGGCGGUUUGUUAAGUCAGAUGUGAAAUCCCCGCGCUUAACGUGGGAACUGCAUUUGAAACUGGCAAGCUAGAGUCUUGUAGAGGGGGGUAGAAUUCCAGGUGUAGCGGUGAAAUGCGUAGAGAUCUGGAGGAAUACCGGUGGCGAAGGCGGCCCCCUGGACAAAGACUGACGCUCAGGUGCGAAACGUGGGGAGCAAACAGGGAUUAGAUACCUGGUAGUCUACGCUGUAAAACGAUGUCGACUUGGAGGUUGUGCCCUUGAGGCGUGGCUUCCGGAGCU